RNAcentral lists this ribosomal RNA (489 nucleotides) under uncultured bacterium. RNAcentral describes it as "bacterial SSU rRNA". It matches the Rfam family "Bacterial small subunit ribosomal RNA", at positions 28 to 507 of the family's 1533-position model. The record is from RNAcentral.
GAUGAACGCUAGCUACAGGCUUAACACAUGCAAGUCGAGGGGAAACGAUAGAGAAAGCUUGCUUUUUCUAGGCGUCGACCGGCGCACGGGUGAGUAACGCGUAUCCAACCUGCCCACCACUUGGGGAUAACCUUGCGAAAGUAAGACUAAUACCCAAUGAUAUCCCACGAAGGCAUCGGAAUGGGAUUAAAGAUUUAUCGGUGAUGGAUGGGGAUGCGUCUGAUUAGCUUGUUGGCGGGGUAACGGCCCACCAAGGCAACGAUCAGUAGGGGUUCUGAGAGGAAGGUCCCCCACAUUGGAACUGAGACACGGUCCAAACUCCUACGGGAGGCAGCAGUGAGGAAUAUUGGUCAAUGGGCGAGAGCCUGAACCAGCCAAGUAGCGUGCAGGAUGACGGCCCUAUGGGUUGUAAACUGCUUUAUAAGGGAAUAAAGUGGGUACUCGUGAGACUUUUUGCAUGUACCUUAUGAAUAAGGCCGCUAAUCCGUG